Prunus mume (Japanese apricot) is the source of this 150-nucleotide non-coding RNA. Lineage: Eukaryota; Viridiplantae; Streptophyta; Magnoliopsida; Rosales; Rosaceae. The record is from RefSeq and is a predicted model, not a curated record.
UUUUGGAAAGCUGGGAACUACAAUGAUGGCAUUGGUUCUAAAGUCACAAUUCAAAAUGGCAAAAACUAUCUACAUGUCCACCCAAUGUUCCUUCAUUCAAAUGCCACUUCACAUAAAUGGGCCUUUGGUGCCAUAGCAGAUCUACUUGAC